GAUGAACGCUGGCGGCGUGCCUAAUACAUGCAAGUCGAGCGAACGGAUGAGAAGCUUGCUCCUCUGAUGUUAGCGGCGGACGGGUGAGUAACACGUGGAUAACCUACCUAUAAUACUGGGAUAACUUCGGGAAACCGGAGCUAAUACCGGAUAAUAUUUUGAACCGCAUGGUUCAAAAGUGAAAGACGGUCUUGCUGUCACUUAUAGAUGGAUCCGCGCUGCAUUAGCUAGUUGGUAAGGUAACGGCUUACCAAGGCAACGAUGCAUAGCCGACCUGAGAGGGUGAUCGGCCACACUGGAACUGAGACAAGGUCCAGACUACUACGGGAGGCAGCAGUAGGGAAUCUUCCGCAAUGGGCGAAAGCCUGACGGAGCAACGCCGCGUGAGGGAUGAAGGUCUUCGGAUCGUAAAACUCUGUUAUUAGGGAAGAACAAAUGUGUAAGUAACUGUGCACAUCUUGACGGUACCUAAUCAGAAAGCCACGGCUAACUACGUG
Molecule: ribosomal RNA, 497 nt
Filed under: uncultured bacterium
Lineage: Bacteria
Description: partial 16S ribosomal RNA
Rfam family: Bacterial small subunit ribosomal RNA
Source: RNAcentral